UACGGAGGGGGCUAGCGUUGUUCGGAAUUACUGGGCGUAAAGAGCUCGUAGGCGGCUUAGUAAGUCGGGUGUGAAACCUCCAGGCUCAACCUGGAGACGCCACCCGAUACUGCUGUGGCUAGAGUCCGGUAGGGGAGCGUGGAAUUCCUGGUGUAGCGGUGAAAUGCGCAGAUAUCAGGAGGAACACCAGCGGCGAAGGCGGCGCUCUGGGCCGGUACUGACGCUGAGGAGCGAAAGCGUGGGGAGCAAACAGG
Molecule: ribosomal RNA, 254 nt
Filed under: uncultured bacterium
Lineage: Bacteria
Description: partial 16S ribosomal RNA
Rfam family: Bacterial small subunit ribosomal RNA
Source: RNAcentral